UUAGCGACCCGGCUGUAACAGCUGCUUUAAUUUUGUAAAAUAGGAGGUCUGUGCUUGGAGCUGGUUCUGGGAGAAUGCCGGCUCGCGCCUGCACGCAUUAGACACGUUUAUCGAGCGCCUCGGAUGUUUAUGCGUUACCGCGAGGAUGCUGGAGAUACAGACUGGAAAGGAACUGGGCCUGGCGCCGGGGAGUGCGAGUCCGGUGGAGGAGGCUGGACGGCGAGCCAACAGCCCUGAAGCUCCGUGCGGAGAGCUGCCAGGCGCUGGGGCCGCCACUCCGCCUGGGCCAGGGGGUGGGAACAGCGAGUUCAAAGAAGAGUGAGAUGGGGCUGGUGGUCAGCUGUGUGCCUGGAGGGCAGGAGGCCUAGGAGGGUACCCAUGGUAGGCUGGGGCCAGCCCAGGAUGGAUCUUAAAUAUUCUCUGAGACUCUUGCUCCAAACAGCAGGACUGCAGGAGGAACCCUGACACUGCUGUGGCCCCUGGCAAAAUCCCCAAUUAGGUGGGAAUGUGUCAAUUCAAUUCCAUUUCCCCUUCCAGAGGCCUCUAUUACUGCUCUGCUGUGGGGAACGCGGAGACGCACAAGACAUCAGAAAACAGCAAACAGGCGGGACUUCCAUUUCCAGCAGUAUUGUGACUUAGACAGCAGAGAACCCGCCUGCUACAAAGUCCUCCUUGGAAAUGGUGGCUAAAAUAUAACAAACACCCUUUUAAAUGCAUGGCUGAGCUUGCAGGAAAGGAGGGGCACUCCCCAGGGAUCAAAACAAAGAAGCAGCUGAAAAGCAGAGCAGGAGGCAGGAGGGAUGGUGCUGCGCUGGGCGCGGGCAGGGCAGGGGCUUUGGUCUCAGCAGCCUGGGGGGUGGGCAGUGCAGUCCCUGUGGGGACAAGAAAUCAGGCUUGGGGCUCCACAAAGCAGAGAGUUGAAAAUGAGACCCGCCUGCGAGCCACUCUUCCAUUCGCAGUGAAAAGGUGGAUGAGAAUAAAAAUAAAAAUUAAAAAACCAUUCAGACGGAUCACCAGGAAGCUGAUCUGCCACAGCCAGGCCCUCCGGUGACUGCCCCCACCGUAUUCCCACAGAAGACACAUGGCUUAUUCCCUGGAGGGGAGAACCAAGGGACUUUGUACAGGGGAAGAGCGGAUCCAGCGGGGGCACGGGCAUCUCUCUGAAGACAAGCUGCACCAGUCUAUGAGAGUCUUGGCCAGUCGUUCUGUCCCAACCAAUGCUGCAUAGACAACUCCACACAGCACAACCUGACAGCAUUUCUGCUCCUCCCGCCAUGGGCUUCCUGUGGCUGCUGGCGCUUGAAAUGCUGUGGGAUCCACUCAAUGCCCAGGCAUGUGCAAGACGGUUCUACAGGAUCAAGCAAUCGAUCGUGAUCAACAUUGACCAGUGACCAGCUCAAUAAGGUACCUUCAUAUUGGUUCUUCCACCUUUCUUUUUCUCUCACUCCAGCUUCCCUGGGACUGUACUCCCUAAACACUAGUGGCACUUCCUUUUCAUCUCAGUUCUGCUUACUGAAGCUUAGAAAGUGGCUCUAGAAAGCAGACCCUUGGUUUGGAAUUUGGUACUGGAUUACUCACGUCACACUUAAUGAAAGACCAAAUGUUUUCCUGUGAAGAUCAGGGACAAGGGUGCCUGCUCUCAUUCCUCCUAUUCAACACCAUGAGAGAAUUCCUAGCCAGUGCAACAAACAAGCAAACAAGGCAUACAGCUUGGAAGGAAAGAAAGAAAUCUCCUUCUAUUCACACACAACAUAAUUAUCUAUAUUUAAAAAACCCAUAAACUAAUGAGUUUAGCAAGAUCACAUAAUAUAAGUCAAUAUACACAAAAAAAUGUAUUCCUAUAUACUCACAAUGAACAAUUAGAAUUGAAAUCAAGAAACAGCACUGGGAAAAGUGAAAUACUCAGGUUUAAAUCUGUAUGCUGAAGACUAGAAAACACUAAUGAAAGAAAUUCUAAAACACCUAAAUAAAUGAAGAGCUAUACCAUGUUCAUGAAUUGGAAGACUCGAUUCUGUUAAGCUGUCAAUUAUCUCCAAAUUGAUCUACAGAUUCAAUCUAAUCCCAAAUAAAAUCCUAGGAAAAUUUUGGAAAAAUCAAUAAGCUAAUUCUAAAAUUUACAUGGAAAGGCAAAGGGACUAGAAUA
Non-coding RNA from Equus caballus (horse), 2143 nucleotides. Lineage: Eukaryota; Metazoa; Chordata; Mammalia; Perissodactyla; Equidae. The record is from RefSeq and is a predicted model, not a curated record.